UACGAGUGGCUCAAGCGUUAUCCGGAAUUAUUGGGCGUAAAGGAUGUGUAGGUGGUUAUGUUAGUCGGACGUCCAACCUCUGGGCUCAACCUGGAGACAGCGUUCGAAACGGCAUGACUAGAGUAUGUUAGGGGUAAGCGGAACUCAUAGUGUAGGGGUGAAAUCCGUUGAUAUUAUGGGGAACACCAAAAGCGAAGGCAGCUUACUGGGACAUUACUGACACUGAAACAUGAAAGCGUGGGUAGCGAAUGGG
This 253-nucleotide ribosomal RNA is filed under the name uncultured bacterium. Its description in RNAcentral is "partial 16S ribosomal RNA". It matches the Rfam family "Bacterial small subunit ribosomal RNA", at positions 524 to 776 of the family's 1533-position model. The record is from RNAcentral.